GCAUGAAGCUGGAAUUGCUAGUAAUCGCGGAUCAGCAAGCCGCGGUGAAUACGUUCCCGGGCCUUGUACACACCGCCCGUCACACCAUGAGAGUCGGGAACACCCGAAGUCCGUAGUCUAACCGCAAGGGGGGCGCGGCCGAAGGUGGGUCCGGUAAUUGGGGUGAAGUCGUAACAAGGUAGC
RNAcentral lists this ribosomal RNA (183 nucleotides) under uncultured bacterium. Its description in RNAcentral is "partial 16S ribosomal RNA". It matches the Rfam family "Bacterial small subunit ribosomal RNA", at positions 1318 to 1500 of the family's 1533-position model. The record is from RNAcentral.